CAGUCGCCGCGGGAAUACGUAGGUCCCGAGCGUUGUCCGGAUUUAUUGGGCGUAAAGCGAACGCAGGCGGUUAGAUAAGUCUGAAGUUAAAGGCUGUGGCUUAACCAUAGUACGCUUUGGAAACUGUUUAACUUGAGUGCAAGAGGGGAGAGUGGAAUUCCAUGUGUAGCGGUGAAAUGCGUAGAUAUAUGGAGGAACACCGGUGGCGAAAGCGGCUCUCUGGCUUGUAACUGACGCUGAGGCUCGAAAGCGUGGGGAGCAAACAGGAUUAGAUACCCCCGUAGUCCCUGUCUCUUAUACA
This 301-nucleotide ribosomal RNA is filed under the name uncultured bacterium. Its description in RNAcentral is "partial 16S ribosomal RNA". It matches the Rfam family "Bacterial small subunit ribosomal RNA", at positions 509 to 808 of the family's 1533-position model. The record is from RNAcentral.